AAAGGACUUUGAAAAGAGAGUUAAAAAGUGCGUGAAACUGCAUACUGAAAAGCGAAUGAGUACGCGUCGGUCCAGAUUGUUGCUAUUCAGGUGCGAUUAGUCGGCAUUUUCGAAUGUUGUUUAUGGCGUUUGAAAUGUUUUUAAUCGUACCGCAUUUAGCCAAUCGGCAUUCUGCUUGGUUUUGUUUUGGCUGCGCCUGUGCUAAGGUACCCCGCCCUCUUGUAGGGUUGGUGGAAUUGGUAGUCGUGUUGCUUAAUGCACACGUUGAGAAGGUUAUUGUUGGCAAAUAAUGGUGGUCAGUUAAGAUGAAGCUUGACAGACUCUUAUUCUGACGACCUAUCGAUUGUCGUUCAAGCUGGUUGUGUAUAUUGUGGCAUGCAUUUAUUGUAUGACACAAUGAUAUUAUGGUCAGAUUAUGUAUUGGCGUUAUCGGUCGUUUGAAUGCAAAAGCAGAUAUAGUUGCGGCAUCAUUCGAACCGUCUUGAAACACGGGCUAAGGAGUUCAACAGAUGCGCGAGUUCACUGGUAACGCGAAACCAGAUGGCUCAGUUAACGCGAGUUUGUGAUUGAUAGUGAUAACCUGGCUGCUACUAAGCACCAGGGUCAUCACUUAUGAUGGAUGGCAUAUAAAGUACCGGUUGUCGUUCGCAAUAGAGCGCAUAUGCUGAGACCCGAAAGAUGGUGAACUAUGCCUGAGUAGGAUGAAGCCGGAGGAAACUCUGGUGGAGGUCCGAAGCGUUUUUGACGUGCAAAUCAAUCGUCAGACUUGGGUAUAGGGGCGAAAGAGACUAAUCGAACCAUCUAGUAGCUGGUUCCCUUCGAA
This 823-nucleotide ribosomal RNA is filed under the name Neoechinorhynchus golvani. RNAcentral describes it as "LSU rRNA". It matches the Rfam family "Eukaryotic large subunit ribosomal RNA", at positions 368 to 965 of the family's 3401-position model. The record is from RNAcentral. Lineage: Eukaryota; Metazoa; Acanthocephala; Eoacanthocephala; Neoechinorhynchida; Neoechinorhynchidae.